This 301-nucleotide ribosomal RNA is filed under the name uncultured bacterium. Its description in RNAcentral is "partial 16S ribosomal RNA". It matches the Rfam family "Bacterial small subunit ribosomal RNA", at positions 509 to 808 of the family's 1533-position model. The record is from RNAcentral.
CAGCCGCCACGGGAAUACGUAGGUGGCAAGCGUUGUCCGGAAUUAUUGGGCGUAAAGCGCGCGCAGGCGGAUCGGUCAGUCUGUCUUAAAAGUUCGGGGCUUAACCCCGUGAUGGGAUGGAAACUGCCAAUCUAGAGUAUCGGAGAGGAAAGUGGAAUUCCUAGUGUAGCGGUGAAAUGCGUAGAUAUUAGGAAGAAUACCAGUGGCGAAGGCGACUUUCUGGACGAAAACUGACACUGAGGCGCGAAAGCGUGGGGAGCAAACAGGACUAGAUACCCCUGUAGUCCCUGUCUCUUAUACA